Molecule: ribosomal RNA, 952 nt
Filed under: Escherichia coli
Lineage: Bacteria; Pseudomonadati; Pseudomonadota; Gammaproteobacteria; Enterobacterales; Enterobacteriaceae
Description: partial 23S ribosomal RNA
Rfam family: Bacterial large subunit ribosomal RNA
Source: RNAcentral
GGAAAGGCGCGCGAUACAGGGUGACAGCCCCGUACACAAAAAUGCACAUGCUGUGAGCUCGAUGAGUAGGGCGGGACACGUGGUAUCCUGUCUGAAUAUGGGGGGACCAUCCUCCAAGGCUAAAUACUCCUGACUGACCGAUAGUGAACCAGUACCGUGAGGGAAAGGCGAAAAGAACCCCGGCGAGGGGAGUGAAAAAGAACCUGAAACCGUGUACGUACAAGCAGUGGGAGCACGCUUAGGCGUGUGACUGCGUACCUUUUGUAUAAUGGGUCAGCGACUUAUAUUCUGUAGCAAGGUUAACCGAAUAGGGGAGCCGAAGGGAAACCGAGUCUUAACUGGGCGUUAAGUUGCAGGGUAUAGACCCGAAACCCGGUGAUCUAGCCAUGGGCAGGUUGAAGGUUGGGUAACACUAACUGGAGGACCGAACCGACUAAUGUUGAAAAAUUAGCGGAUGACUUGUGGCUGGGGGUGAAAGGCCAAUCAAACCGGGAGAUAGCUGGUUCUCCCCGAAAGCUAUUUAGGUAGCGCCUCGUGAAUUCAUCUCCGGGGGUAGAGCACUGUUUCGGCAAGGGGGUCAUCCCGACUUACCAACCCGAUGCAAACUGCGAAUACCGGAGAAUGUUAUCACGGGAGACACACGGCGGGUGCUAACGUCCGUCGUGAAGAGGGAAACAACCCAGACCGCCAGCUAAGGUCCCAAAGUCAUGGUUAAGUGGGAAACGAUGUGGGAAGGCCCAGACAGCCAGGAUGUUGGCUUAGAAGCAGCCAUCAUUUAAAGAAAGCGUAAUAGCUCACUGGUCGAGUCGGCCUGCGCGGAAGAUGUAACGGGGCUAAACCAUGCACCGAAGCUGCGGCAGCGACGCUGAUGCGUUGUUGGGUAGGGGAGCGUUCUGUAAGCCUGCGAAGGUGUGCUGUGAGGCAUGCUGGAGGUAUCAGAAGUGCGAAUGCU